RNAcentral lists this ribosomal RNA (253 nucleotides) under uncultured Coprococcus sp. RNAcentral describes it as "partial 16S ribosomal RNA". It matches the Rfam family "Bacterial small subunit ribosomal RNA", at positions 524 to 776 of the family's 1533-position model. The record is from RNAcentral. Lineage: Bacteria; Bacillati; Bacillota; Clostridia; Lachnospirales; Lachnospiraceae.
UACGUAGGGAGCAAGCGUUAUCCGGAUUUACUGGGUGUAAAGGGCGUGUAGGCGAGCCUGCAAGUCAGAAGUGAAAUCUGGGGGCUUAACCCCCAAACUGCUUUUGAAACUGCGGGUCUUGAGUACUGGAGAGGAAAGUGGAAUUCCUAGUGUAGCGGUGAAAUGCGUAGAUAUUAGGAGGAACACCAGUGGCGAAGGCGGCUUGCUGGACUGUAAAUGACGCUGAGGCUCGAAAGCGUGGGGAGCAAACAGG